UAAGGAAUAUUGGUCAAUGGACGAAAGUCUGAACCAGCCAUGCCGCGUGAAGGAUGAAGGUCCUCUGGAUUGUAAACUUCUUUUAUCUGGGACGAAAAAAAGGGGAAUUCUUUCUCACUUGACGGGUACCAGAAGAAUAAGCACCGGCUAACUCCGUGCCAGCAGCCGCGGUAAUACGGAGGGUGCAAGCGUUAUCCGGAUUCACUGGGUUUAAAGGGUGCGUAGGUGGGCAGUUAAGUCAGUGGUGAAAUCUCCGGGGCUUAACCCGGAAACUGCCAUUGAUACUAUCUGUCUUGAAAUCUCUGGAGGUAAGCGGAAUAUGUCAUGUAGCGGUGAAAUGCUUAGAUAUGACAUAAGACACCGAUUGCGAAGCAGCUACUACGGAGUCAUUGACACUGAGGC
RNAcentral lists this ribosomal RNA (402 nucleotides) under uncultured bacterium. RNAcentral describes it as "bacterial SSU rRNA". It matches the Rfam family "Bacterial small subunit ribosomal RNA", at positions 355 to 752 of the family's 1533-position model. The record is from RNAcentral.